GCCGGCCCCAGCCGACAACCAGGCGCACCCUGGCUGGGGAGCAGGAGAGCCAGGAAGGGUGCGAGGCGGGGAGAGGAGGCGGCGGCGGCUCCCCGGGAAGGGCGCGGGGAGGAAGGGCUGAGGCGGGAGCGGGCGGGGAGGCGGUGGGAUGAAGCCUCACCUAGAGAAGCAGCGGAGUGGAGAGUGGGUGAGCUGCCCCCGAGAGACGGCAGUGCUGCUAAAAAAAAAAAAAAAAAACCAAAAAAAAUCCCAAACAGCCAAACCGUGAAGCAGUCAGCAGCCCCGAAAAGCAGGCAGCCAUUUAAAACAGACCGACAGCUACCUUGGCCGGCGCGCUCGGGAGCGGGGAAGCCCCGCAGCAUCCACCUGCCGCGGGAGCGGGGCCGAGGCAGCCCCGGCCGCCCCCGCCGCCGCCCUGGCACGGCCGCCCUGGCACUGCCGCCCUGGCACUGCUGCCCUGGCACUGCUCCCGGCGGGGGGAACAAACCGUGCCCCUCUCCCGGCGCUGGCAGCGCCUUAACGCCGCCACGCUGUGCCUUUGAGCUCAAGUACCUCUUGCAGGCUGGGAGCAUCUGCAUGUGCAAGGCAGAUCAGAGAAGGUGGGAAGUAUCAAAGAACAACUGGAAUUGGAAGGGAUCCAGAAGGAUCACCAGGUCCAACUCUCAAGUGAAUACAUACAGGGAUGGAACCCUUGACCUUGGUGUUAUCAGUGGCAUGCUCUGACCAAAUGGAAAGUUCUGUUUCACACACAGUAAGAGUUUCUCUAAUGAGAGGAUCAACUUUUGGUGCAGGACAGAAAGACUAAACCCAAAACAAACAUUUUCUCCCAUUUCUAGAUAUGUUGUUUGUUACACAUGGAGAAUAUUUUUCUUUGCUUUCUGGUAAACAGUAUUAAGGCACUGAUAUGAAACAUGAAGAAAACAGAACAAACUGCAAGAACAGAAAUGCCAGCUAGAUAAAUAGAAAUAAAACUUCGUGGGAAGAUUGGUCAAACAUUGGAACAGACUAGCCAAAAAUGUUCUGCAAGUCUAUCCUUGGAAACACUCAAAACUGAGGUAGUUUUGAGCAUAAGCGAAUUGAUUUGACAUUAAAGCUAGAUCCAACCUUUGAGCAGGGGGCUAGAACAGAUUACCUGUAGCAGUUCCUUUCAACAAUUAUUUUAGCAUGAAAGUAUAUGGUUCCUUUUCUUAUCUCAGAUAAACCAAAAGAGUAUCAAUAUCAUUAUAAUAAUACAAGCAAAAAGUAAGCAAUUAUGUUUUUUUUAUUUUCUUUUUCUUUUCUUUUUUUAGGACAUAAUAGAAAAUAAUCAGGACAAUAUUUUACUAGGGCAGAAACGUUAGUACAACUAGUAUUGUUAUCUGAUGAUAAAAAGCUAUUUGUCAGACAAUGUCAACUAGGAUUAUUUAGUAGUCUUUGGUUGCUGAAAAUGACAGACAUUCAAUAACACUCCCAGAGAAAUAAUUUUUGACUGAAAUUUAGCUGUUACAUCUGCCAUUGGUUUAAAAAAUACAUUAUUGAGGCAAGCUGUCAAUUCCCAUGAGGCAUUUGAUUAAUAAUUUUCAAAGCUUCAAUAGGAUAAGCAUUACCACGUCAAUGAAGGCUGUGAUACAGGAACAUCACAAGAGCCACUUGUAUCAGCACUGUAGAAACUGAUUAUCAUAGACUUCUGCAAGCUACAUCAUCUAAAUCAGAAAGGCAUACAUGUAAAAGAAAAGAAGGACAAGGAAGGCAGUACCAUAAUUACCUUUGACUGAGAAAAGACCAAGGAUUUUUGCAAUGGAUUUUGACAUUUGGAUUUAUGAAGGAUAACAAAAUUCAGAAACACAGAUGUUUGCUGCAAAACUUUGACUUUAUUGCAGCCUUCCAAGAGAGUUCUCCUGAACUGUGGUUAAUGGGAGCCCAGACAAUAAGAUAUGGCAAGUAUUCAGAGCUGCUGUUGUAAGGACAGAGUCCUUAGAGUAGGUUUAGAUUAUGUUCCCCUAUUUAGGGGACAAUGUGCCUGCUGAGGACCUGGUCAGCAAAGCCUACAGUUGCUCCUCAUAGGAAGAAGUCCAAGGUUCUCUGCAGCUGAGACAGAACUUGAGACUUCUCUCAGAGUAUUUAUUAUACUAAAAAUGUAAUGAAUAAGAAUUUUUAUCAUCACCAUAAUUUUUCCAACUGGCUGUUGCCACAACUUAUCCUUCAUCACUAGUGUAGACUUUUAAAGGAAGUUGUACAUGAAAACAAAUCUUAGUAAGAGCUGGGCCAUUAACAGACUCCUAUAUAUUCUUGUCAACUGUAGUUUUCUCAUGAGGCAGGAUUUACAUAUACUAGUUCUUUCUCAUUAAUUGAUUUUCUUGUACUUAUGUGAAUUUAAAUGUGUGUUCUUGUAAGUUCACACUCAGAAAUAUAAAAAUUAGAAUAGUACACCCAAAGAAGUACACCACUAAUAACUUCAGAUUUUGGCAUAGAUAAGCUAAAUCAGAAGUAAUUGAGGCUUCAAAACAUAGAAUGAUGAGUAUGCAGAGAGACACUACAUUUGCUGGGAUACAGGACACAAAAGAGGGUAGCAAAAGUCAAUCUAAAAUUACUGCUGCUGUAUUUUUCAGGCACUACCUUUAAAGCAAAUCCUGCCUAGGAAAAGGUUUAGAGUUUGGUGAUGGACAAUUCUAUUCACAUAAACUUGGGUAAAAAUUGCAUAAAAAAUAAGCCCAGUAAUACAAAGUACAAGUAGUGGAAUUGCAGUCUUUGGCAAAAAUUAAUUGGGCAUGAGCUGGGUUUUUUUCCAACCCAGGUCACAUACAUGUCCUACAGAAAACCUAGUACUACCACUUCAUCAGUUCAGAAAUUAUACACAAUAGUUUUCAUCCACUGAUCACCUAUUUCACCCAAAGAUCUCAAAGCAUUUCAAAUAGAAUCAGUAUCCUUCUUUCCAUCCUCUCAAGCACUCAGACUUUAGAAAGCUGAAUUUAUCUUAAGAACUUAAGGCCACACACUGAUUAAACUAAGAGGAACAGCAUCUGUAUCUAAUUUUCUACAAUUUUCUAAUUUUGUAAGCAUUUGCAUAGGGAAAUCAUGUUAAAGAUUCAAUUAGAAAUACCAUUACUGUUGAGAAGAAAGGGCUGACAUGUCAAAUUAACAUAAGCUUUUUUUUUGUUUUUAAUGUUAUAAAUACUUUUGUGAGAAAUUGAGAAAAUGUAGCUAUACAAGUUGGGGAAAACAAUUUGUAAGGAUACAUUAAAGGAAAAAAAAAUCAGUAUCUUCACAGAAGCCAGCAUGCAAAAAGGAGGACACUGAUCCAGAAAUAAUUAUACUGGGAAAUAGGAUAAAGAAGAUAAAAAUAGCUGUCAUUAAACUGUUAUUUUUCUUCCAGUUGUCCUGUAAUACAAUGGGUUUUGUCCACUGCCUAAACUAUUUUGUCUCUCAUGUAUUAGCACAUAUAUGAAAAGAUGCCACAGCUGAAUGAGACUGUAUGUUUAUAUAGUUAUAUAUAAAAAUAUAUUACCUACUAUAUACAAGAACUAAUAAGCAUAAUACUACAAAAAUAGUGAAGGAAAUAGAAACUGUUUAGAUGAAGCAAAUAUGUACUUCAGAUGGAUCUAAUUUUAAAUUGAUGGACUUUUUCACUAUUAUCAAGUUUGAAUGAGGCUAUGGAAAGUAAAAUUAUUAACAAGGAAGCAGAAAGAGAUGAGGAAUGGGAACAGAGGGACACAAUCCCAUGAAACCAUAGGCUUGAUAGCAGGUAUUGUAAUAAAUCUGCUAAACUAUAGCCCUGCUUAAUUGGAAAAUCCACUGUCCGUGCUUAUGCUGUAACCACUGUCUGUGCAAAUUAAUAAUGUACAGUCUUGGAUAAAAGCACAUGUGGGGGUUUUUGGUUGUUGUUAGUAGUCAUAGCCAUUAUAUUGGUCGUGCUGGGACAGGCACUACACAACUGCUGACUAGGACUGCCUUUGUUCAAGGUUCUAAGGUACAGCCCAACUCUUUCGGGUGCUCUGUGGCCAAGGUCUAGAGCACAGUGUAGAUCACUGCCAUGCUUUCGUGAUGUUCAGCAAAACCAGGAAUCCGGAUUACAUCUCUUCUUCCUUAAAUCUAUCAAUAAGAAUGGUCUGGAGGAAAUUUCAUGUUCCAAAUCAGAUUUCCUAAGCUUUCUCUGCAUUUCUGUAUUUGCAAGGGUUCUGAUGAUGACAGUAGAAGAUGGGAGAGUUCACUAAGUCAUACAAACAGGACUAGGAUAUCAUGCAUAUAUGAAGAGCUAUCAAAGAUCCACUUCAAUCCACUCUUGACGUUGUGUUUAUUUAUUUUUCUAUUUAAAGAUUAAAAUGAUCAAUUUUUAUUAGUGUCAGUAACCUGAUAAGCCUCUGAGUACAGUAGUUUCACGAAUACAAGCCGCACGGAUUAUAAGCCGCACCCCCGGUGCCUCGACAAUGUUGCUGUCUUUGUCAAUAGAUAAGCCGCACCCCGAAUAUUAGCCGCACUUUCGUUCGUCGCGAGAAUCCGUGCGCAGCUUUCACAAAUUGGCCAAUUAGUAACAGGAUCGCGGCAUAGCGGGCUUUACUGGCUC
Molecule: long non-coding RNA, 4540 nt
Organism: Catharus ustulatus (Swainson's thrush)
Lineage: Eukaryota; Metazoa; Chordata; Aves; Passeriformes; Turdidae
Source: Ensembl